Molecule: long non-coding RNA, 160 nt
Organism: Clarias gariepinus (North African catfish)
Lineage: Eukaryota; Metazoa; Chordata; Actinopteri; Siluriformes; Clariidae
Exons: 3
Source: RefSeq, a predicted model, not a curated record
CACCGGAGCAAGACAUUCUUCAUCUGCUGGUUUGGGUUCUUGUGUUUCUCUGGGACAAUGUGGAGUGCCGUUCUCUUCUUCUCCUUCAUCUCAGCAGCCUCCGCUGCACCGGUCUACAAUUACCUGCAGCAUUAUGGAAACCUGAUGCCGUCCAACCAGG